Molecule: ribosomal RNA, 1577 nt
Filed under: Labeo angra
Lineage: Eukaryota; Metazoa; Chordata; Actinopteri; Cypriniformes; Cyprinidae
Description: partial large subunit ribosomal RNA
Rfam family: Bacterial large subunit ribosomal RNA
Source: RNAcentral
GCUUACCCACCAAAACUAACCAAACAAUAUAUAUAAAAUAAAAUGGACAAAACACCAAAAACUAAACCAUUCUUUUACCUGAGUAUGGGAGACAGAAAAGGUUCAACCAAAGCAAUAGAAAUAGUACCGCAAGGGAAAGCUGAAAGAGAAAUGAAACAACCCAUAUAAGCACAAAAAAGCAAAGAUUAAACCUUGUACCUUUUGCAUCAUGAUUUAGCCAGUACACCCAAGCAAAGAGACCUUUAGUUUGAAACCCCGAAACCAGGUGAGCUACCCCGAGACAGCCUAUUUAAGGGCCAACCCGUCUCUGUGGCAAAAGAGUGGGAAGAGCUCCGGGUAGAAGUGACAGACCUACCGAACCUGGUGAUAGCUGGUUGCCUAAGAAACGAAUAGAAGUUCAGCCUCGUACACCUCAAAUCAAACAAAUACAUAAACAAGACACCAAGAGAAAUAAACGAGAGUUAGUUAAAGGGGGUACAGCCCCUUUAACAAAGGAUACAACCUUAUCAGGAGGAUAAAGAUCAUAACAUACAAAACAUACUGUUCUAGUGGGCCUAAAAGCAGCCAUCUAAACAGAAAGCGUUAAAGCUCAGACAGAAAAAAGUUUAUUAUUCCGAUAAAUAAUCUUACUCCCCUAAAUUCUAUUAGGCUAAUCCAUGCCCCCAUGGAAGAAAUUAUGCUAAAAUGAGUAACAAGAAGGCCCGCCCUUCUCCCAGCACAAGUGUAAGCCAAACCGGACAGACCAUUGGCAAUUAACGAACUCAACCCAAGAGAGCAAUGUGAGCCACACAAAAACCAAGAAAACCACACAACCCAACAAUCGUUAUCCCCACACUGGAGUGCACCUAAAGGAAAGACUAAAAGAAAAGGAAGGAACUCGGCAAACACAAGCCUCGCCUGUUUACCAAAAACAUCGCCUCCUGCCACACAAUUAUGUAUAGGAGGUCCAGCCUGCCCAGUGACUACAAGUUCAACGGCCGCGGUAUUUUGACCGUGCAAAGGUAGCGCAAUCUCCCCUUUCCAGUCAGUGAAAUUGAUCUGCCCGUGCAGAAGCGGACAUAAUAAUACAAGACGAGAAGACCCUUUGGAGCUUAAGGUACAAAACUCAACCACGUCAAGCAACUCAGUAAAAAGCAAAAACUUUGUGGAAUAUGAAAUUUUACCUUCGGUUGGGGCGACCACGGAGGAAAACAAAGCCUCCAAGUGGAUUGGGAAAACCUCCUAAAACCAAGAGAGACAUCUCUAAGCCACAGAACAUCUGACCAAACAUGAUCCGGCUGCCCGAAGCCGAUCAACGAACCAAGUUACCCUAGGGAUAACAGCGCAAUCCUCUCCCAGAGUCCAUAUCGACGAGGGGGUUUACGACCUCGAUGUUGGAUCAGGACAUCCUAAUGGUGCAGCCGCUAUUAAGGGUUCGUUUGUUCAACGAUUAAAGUCCUACGUGAUCUGAGUUCAGACCGGAGCAAUCCAGGUCAGUUUCUAUCUGUAACGCUACUUUUCCUAGUACGAAAGGAUCGGAAAAGAGGGGCCCAUACUUCAAGCACGCCCCACCCCUAAUUUAUGAAAACAAAUAAAUA